Molecule: long non-coding RNA, 406 nt
Organism: Rhincodon typus (whale shark)
Lineage: Eukaryota; Metazoa; Chordata; Chondrichthyes; Orectolobiformes; Rhincodontidae
Exons: 3
Source: RefSeq, a predicted model, not a curated record
UCUGCGGACCCUACAGCCAUUGAAAGUUGAAAUCUUGGGCUUAUGAAACAGUGUUAUGUUUAAAAAGUGUUCAUGACUUUGGCCGUCGCUGGUAAGGCCAUCACUUAUUGCCCAUCCUCAACUGCCCUUCUGAAGGUGUUGACCUAAUAUUCACCAAACAUGAUCACCCGAACAACGUCAACUUGUAUAAAAAUACCAGAGGGUGAGAGGCUUCACAUGGAACUAUCCCCAAGUAGUGUGCCAAAACUUCAUGGAAGACAGAGAAAAAGAAUGCCCAUGUAUGUUCUGAAAGUCCCACACCUGAAGAAUGAACUUGUCUGAUCUCGCCAUAGGAGCUGAUUGACGAGCUCCAGCAUUUUCCAUUGCUGUUUCAAAUUUCCAGCUUUUUUUAGCUUCUAUUAAUUCU